UCUUAUACGUAAUCCUUUUCGUGAGCGAUUGUCUCUACUCUCUCUCUCUCUCUGGAAUAAAGUAAAUACGGUAUGUUAUACAAAAACUGUCAACACUAUAUAUAGAUUAUAACUAACUUGUCUCACAAAACUUCCAAUAAUUUCUCUCUCUCUUUCUCUCUAAAGCUCUCUCCCUCUCUGAAUGUUUGAGUUGCAGGUGCUUAUUAAAAACAUGGCUUGGUGUUUAAAACAACGCGUGUUGCUCCCUGUUAUGGUGGUGUUAUUGUUGUUGGGAACAAGUCCUUCCAUAGCAGAGCUUCAGAAGCUGAAACACACUCCAACAAAAGCAGAUCAACCUCUGAACAUUCUGGUGGUCGGAGACUGGGGAAGAAAAGGAACCUAUAACCAGUCCUUGGUCGCUUAUCAGCCCAGAAUAGGCUGAGCUAAUAGGUCCAAGAGGCAGUUCUAAUUGGGUUGGUUGGCUAUCAUGCUGUCCCAAGGUAUGGAUUUUAUUUUUUGGAAUAAAAAAAAUUGUUGGGACACAUUUCUCAAGAAACGUAAGGUUUACUA
Molecule: long non-coding RNA, 549 nt
Organism: Arachis duranensis
Lineage: Eukaryota; Viridiplantae; Streptophyta; Magnoliopsida; Fabales; Fabaceae
Exons: 2
Source: RefSeq, a predicted model, not a curated record